UCAAGUGAAGAAGCGCAUACGGUGGAUGCCUUGGCAGUCAGAGGCGAUGAAAGACGUGGUAGCCUGCGAAAAGCUUCGGGGAGUCGGCAAACAGACUUUGAUCCGGAGAUCUCUGAAUGGGGGAACCCACCUAGGAUAACCUAGGUAUCUUGUACUGAAUCCAUAGGUGCAAGAGGCGAACCAGGGGAACUGAAACAUCUAAGUACCCUGAGGAAAAGAAAUCAACCGAGAUUCCCUUAGUAGUGGCGAGCGAACGGGGAUUAGCCCUUAAGCUUCAUUGAUUUUAGCGGAACGCUCUGGAAAGUGCGGCCAUAGUGGGUGAUAGCCCCGUACGCGAAAGGAUCUUUGAAGUGAAAUCGAGUAGGACGGAGCACGAGAAACUUUGUCUGAACAUGGGGGGACCAUCCUCCAAGGCUAAAUACUACUGACUGACCGAUAGUGAACCAGUACCGUGAGGGAAAGGCGAAAAGAACCCCGGAGAGGGGAGUGAAAUAGAACCUGAAACCGUAUGCGUACAAGCAGUGGGAGCCUACUUGUUAGGUGACUGCGUACCUUUUGUAUAAUGGGUCAGCGACUUAUAUUCAGUGGCAAGCUUAACCGUAUAGGGUAGGCGUAGCGAAAGCGAGUCUUAAUAGGGCGUUUAGUCGCUGGGUAUAGACCCGAAACCGGGCGAUCUAUCCAUGAGCAGGUUGAAGGUUAGGUAACACUGACUGGAGGACCGAACCCACUCCCGUUGAAAAGGUAGGGGAUGACUUGUGGAUCGGAGUGAAAGGCUAAUCAAGCUCGGAGAUAGCUGGUUCUCCUCGAAAGCUAUUUAGGUAGCGCCUCAUGUAUCACUCUGGGGGGUAGAGCACUGUUUCGGCUAGGGGGUCAUCCCGACUUACCAAACCGAUGCAAACUCCGAAUACCCAGAAGUGCCGAGCAUGGGAGACACACGGCGGGUGCUAACGUCCGUCGUGAAAAGGGAAACAACCCAGACCGCCAGCUAAGGUCCCAAAGUUGUGGUUAAGUGGUAAACGAUGUGGGAAGGCUUAGACAGCUAGGAGGUUGGCUUAGAAGCAGCCAUCCUUUAAAGAAAGCGUAAUAGCUCACUAGUCGAGUCGGCCUGCGCGGAAGAUGUAACGGGGCUCAAACCACACACCGAAGCUGCGGGUGUCACGUAAGUGACGCGGUAGAGGAGCGUUCUGUAAGCCUGUGAAGGUGAGUUGAGAAGCUUGCUGGAGGUAUCAGAAGUGCGAAUGCUGACAUGAGUAACGACAAUGGGUGUGAAAAACACCCACGCCGAAAGACCAAGGGUUCCUGCGCAACGUUAAUCGACGCAGGGUUAGUCGGUUCCUAAGGCGAGGCUGAAAAGCGUAGUCGAUGGGAAACAGGUUAAUAUUCCUGUACUUCUGGUUACUGCGAUGGAGGGACGGAGAAGGCUAGGCCAGCUUGGCGUUGGUUGUCCAAGUUUAAGGUGGUAGGCUGAAAUCUUAGGUAAAUCCGGGGUUUCAAGGCCGAGAGCUGAUGACGAGUCGUCUUUUAGAUGACGAAGUGGUUGAUGCCAUGCUUCCAAGAAAAGCUUCUAAGCUUCAGGUAACCAGGAACCGUACCCCAAACCGACACAGGUGGUCGGGUAGAGAAUACCAAGGCGCUUGAGAGAACUCGGGUGAAGGAACUAGGCAAAAUGGCACCGUAACUUCGGGAGAAGGUGCGCCGGCUAGGGUGAAGGAUUUACUCCGUAAGCUCUGGCUGGUCGAAGAUACCAGGCCGCUGCGACUGUUUAUUAAAAACACAGCACUCUGCAAACACGAAAGUGGACGUAUAGGGUGUGACGCCUGCCCGGUGCCGGAAGGUUAAUUGAUGGGGUUAGCGCAAGCGAAGCUCUUGAUCGAAGCCCCGGUAAACGGCGGCCGUAACUAUAACGGUCCUAAGGUAGCGAAAUUCCUUGUCGGGUAAGUUCCGACCUGCACGAAUGGCGUAACGAUGGCGGCGCUGUCUCCACCCGAGACUCAGUGAAAUUGAAAUCGCUGUGAAGAUGCAGUGUAUCCGCGGCUAGACGGAAAGACCCCGUGAACCUUUACUGUAGCUUUGCACUGGACUUUGAGCCUGCUUGUGUAGGAUAGGUGGGAGGCUUUGAAGCGUGGACGCCAGUUCGCGUGGAGCCAUCCUUGAAAUACCACCCUGGCAUGCUUGAGGUUCUAACUCUGGUCCGUAAUCCGGAUCGAGGACAGUGUAUGGUGGGCAGUUUGACUGGGGCGGUCUCCUCCUAAAGAGUAACGGAGGAGUACGAAGGUGCGCUCAGACCGGUCGGAAAUCGGUCGCAGAGUAUAAAGGCAAAAGCGCGCUUGACUGCGAGACAGACACGUCGAGCAGGUACGAAAGUAGGUCUUAGUGAUCCGGUGGUUCUGUAUGGAAGGGCCAUCGCUCAACGGAUAAAAGGUACUCCGGGAUAACAGGCUGAUACCGCCCAAGAGUUCAUAUCGACGGCGGUGUUUGGCACCUCGAUGUCGGCUCAUCACAUCCUGGGGCUGAAGCCGGUCCCAAGGGUAUGGCUGUUCGCCAUUUAAAGUGGUACGCGAGCUGGGUUUAGAACGUCGUGAGACAGUUCGGUCCCUAUCUGCCGUGGACGUUUGAGAUUUGAGAGGGGCUGCUCCUAGUACGAGAGGACCGGAGUGGACGAACCUCUGGUGUUCCGGUUGUCACGCCAGUGGCAUUGCCGGGUAGCUAUGUUCGGAAAAGAUAACCGCUGAAAGCAUCUAAGCGGGAAACUUGCCUCAAGAUGAGAUCUCACUGGGAACUUGAUUCCCCUGAAGGGCCGUCGAAGACUACGACGUUGAUAGGCUGGGUGUGUAAGCGUUGUGAGGCGUUGAGCUAACCAGUACUAAUUGCCCGUGAGGCUUGACCAU
Molecule: ribosomal RNA, 2888 nt
Filed under: Pseudomonas aeruginosa
Lineage: Bacteria; Pseudomonadati; Pseudomonadota; Gammaproteobacteria; Pseudomonadales; Pseudomonadaceae
Description: bacterial LSU rRNA
Rfam family: Bacterial large subunit ribosomal RNA
Source: RNAcentral